RNAcentral lists this long non-coding RNA (229 nucleotides) under Elaeis guineensis (African oil palm). RNAcentral's name for it is "long non-coding RNA (EGUI_LNC000103)". The record is from RNAcentral. Lineage: Eukaryota; Viridiplantae; Streptophyta; Magnoliopsida; Arecales; Arecaceae.
UGUCCCAGAAUUGAUUCCGUACAUAUCUAAAAGCAUUUAUUUAUAUUACCGCUAUCAAAAAGAAGAAUAUGCAGUUAAUUUUUCACCGGACAAGAAAGCAGAAACACGAGCUUCAGUUGAAACAAGUCCUGAUUUUGGCCAAUUGAACAUUUCCAAAGCACAUAGCUGUCAAGGCUUUUUUUGGCGGAAAGGAGAUGAGGCGGGUAAAAAGGAGAUGAAUGGAAGAAAA